UAAUACGUAGGGGGCGAGCGUUGUCCGGAUUCAUUGGGCGUAAAGAGCUCGUAGGCGGCUUGGUUAGUUGGGUGUGAAACCUCCAGGCUUAACCUGGAGACGCCACUCAAUACUGCCAUGGCUAGAGUCCGGUAGGGGACCACGGAAUUCCUGGUGUAGCGGUGAAAUGCGCAGAUAUCAGGAGGAACACCGGUGGCGAAGGCGGUGGUCUGGGCCGGCACUGACGCUGAGGAGCGAAAGCGUGGGGAGCGAACAGGAUUAGAUACCCUGGUAGUCCACGCCGUAAACGUUGGGCACUAGGUGUGGGGGAUUAUCAACGUCCUCCGUGCCGUAGCUAACGCAUUAAGUGCCCCGCCUGGGGAGUACGGCCGCAAGGCUA
Molecule: ribosomal RNA, 379 nt
Filed under: uncultured bacterium
Lineage: Bacteria
Description: bacterial SSU rRNA
Rfam family: Bacterial small subunit ribosomal RNA
Source: RNAcentral